RNAcentral lists this long non-coding RNA (23447 nucleotides) under Capsicum annuum. Its description in RNAcentral is "long non-coding RNA (CANN_LNC010452)". Lineage: Eukaryota; Viridiplantae; Streptophyta; Magnoliopsida; Solanales; Solanaceae. The record is from RNAcentral.
AUCAGAUUUAGCAGAAUAGGUAUUUAUAUUUGUGAUUAUGAAUAGCUAAAUUCAUAAAUUCCUGAAAUGUCAUGAUAUGAUAAAAUAAGUUCAUGUUAGUUAAUUUAUAGUAGAAUUAUUCGAAAAAUAGCAUGUUAAGAAGUUUAUUAGCAAAGUGGAAAAGGAGAAAAAUUCUUAAGAACUAUGUCAUCGUAAAGGUGAAACCGGUGAGGCAAGAAAGUCGUGAUAGAGGAGUAGCCAGAGUAGAGGUGCUGUUUAAGGGAAAAAUAUCCAGAUUAUCAUGCUAAUAGUGACCGAAGAAUAUGUUAUUUAAGGAUAAUCUAGUAUAUAGUAAUCUAAAAUGAUCAUAUUUUGUUACGUAUAUGAUUGAAGAGAAUAUUUUGAAAAAGCAUCAUAUGAAAAAUGAAUACUUAUUUAUCUGACAAAAUGGUAGAUAAAUUUAAAAUACUUGUUUUAUAUAUACCUAAGGAUAUAGAAAUUGUAGAUAUAAGAAAAACCAUAUUGGAAAAAAUAUUUGAUAAAUAUUUUAUGACUAGAAUAAAUUACAUACCACACCUACCUACCAACUCUUACAAAUACUUACAUAUCAAACCUACAUAUCAAUCAUGAUAAAUUACGUAUAUUUAGAAUAUUGAAAAAUGGAUAUAAAAAAUAUACAAUUAUUAGAUAACUAAUGGAAACCAAUCUAGAAAAAUAUAUUAGAAGUAAGGAUAUAAAAUAUAUAGAAUUCUUUAAUGAAAAUAUACAAGAACUAUUAAGAUUAAAACAAACAACUAAUAAAUACUAUGAUAAAGCAAUUAAUUAUUAGAAUCCAAUUCCAAGCUAUCCAAGUUAUUCGUAGAAACCUAAGCAUAAUAUGAAUACUAUGACAAGUUAUAUAUCUGAUGAAACUAAGAUACUUGUUUUAUAUAUCAUAAAAGACUUAAAAUUAGAAGACAUAAAGAAAAUAAUAUGGGAAAAAAUAUUUGAUUUUGAAGAUGAGUUACUAAAUACUAAUUGGAUAGAAGAUGAAUUAGAAAAUAUAGAUUUCUAUGGUAGAAAUAAUUCAGAUAGUUAUUAUUCAGAUGGAUAUUAUACAAAUUAAAAAUGUUAGAAUAUUAACAGAGUUAGAGAAAAAUAAAGUUGGCUAUAUGAAGAAAUUAAUUAUAGAAACCAGCUUAGAGAAGGAAGAGAAUAAUUAAAAGAAAGAUUAAUUUGGAUAAAUAAAACCAUAAAACAACUAGAAUUAAAAGACAGCUUUGAAUAUGAUUUAGACAUAGAAUUAUUCAUAGACGAAAAAGAUAGGAUAAUUAAUGAAAUAAAUAACCUAGAAUUUAAUAUCAGAUAUAGUACAAUUAGAAUAAAUAAUUACAAUGAAAUUUGCAGUAUCACAACUACUUUAGGAUAAAAUGAUAGACUAUGAGUAUUUAAAAUAUUGGAGACAAGAUAUGGAAGAAAUAAGAUUAACAGACGCUUUAUUCCACCCUCUGACCUACUUGAUUUUGUUUGGUCUUUCCAUAGUAGAAAUACUUAUGAAAGAAAAUUUAAUUGAAUAAUUUAGAUCAAAAGAUGAAUAUUUAGAAUACCUUCAAAAUAAUAUACAAGAAUUACAAAGUCUAAGAGAAAAAAUCAAAUAAUAUUAUAGUAAAGUAUUUAAUCAAAUACCAUCCAAUCACCCCCCAAAAUAUGAACAUUAAUAAAAUUAAAAUAAAUAAACUAAAAAUAAAAAUGUUAAGAGAAGUUAAGAAAUAUCCACGCACAUAUAAAAAUAGAUCCAUUGUAGUUAUAAUAGAUCUAUUCUAUUUAGUUAUCCAUUUAAGUUACCCAAGUUAUCCGCACCCCCUACAAUUGGUAUCAGAAUCUACAUUAUUUAAAGUUACGGAAGUAGUAUAUAUUUGGAUUUAUGGAUUUAUUUGAUUAAUUUAUUAAUUAUGAUAAAAUUAGAUUUAGAUAUCCACCAAAAUAUUAUAAAUAUUGUAUAGAUGAAUCCACAAAAAUAUAAAGAAUUAAAAUAAAUAAUAUCUGAAAAACGUAAAGAAUUAAAAAUAAGGAUAGAAAGACUACAGUAUAACACAAUUGUCAGAGUUAUUAAAAAUUUAAUAAAUGCACUAAAAGAAGAAACAUCAAAUUUAGAAUCAAUAAUAGAUAGUCUAGAAUAUAUAUGUCAACAUAACUUAUAUACAUUUAAAUAAAAUGAACAAAGAAGAAUUUAUAAUAGAUGAAAAAACAUAUGAAAAUCACGAAGGCUCAAAAAUAAAAAUAGUGUUCUCUAAUUUUGGAAGAAGAUAUAAAAAAAUAGGUGAACACUUAUAUUUAAUGUUAGAAAAAGAAGAAUUAAAAUUAGAAGAUAAGUUGGCAGUCAUGGUAAGAAUAGAAAGAGAAAAUGAAAAAAUAGACAGAAAAAAAUAGAUAAAAUAAAACAACAACCCACAGAAGAAAUACAAAAAUAGAAGAAAUCAAAAAUAGUAGGAUUGCUGAAUUAGAAAAAAAUUACAAAUGAUAAAAGAUUUCUAUGAAAAAAAAAUAGAAAGAAAAAGAAGAAAAAGAUAAAGAACAAAAAUUAUUAAUUGAGAUAAAUCAAUUUAAAAAAAAUUAGAAAUUAAAAAUAAAGAAUUAGAAACCAGUGAAUUAGAAAUAAAUACAAUAGAUGCUGAAGAAACAGAUAAUUAUGACUCGGAAGAUAGUGAAACAUAUUCAGAAAUUCUAGAAAACAUAGGAAAACUAGAAAUUAAUGAGGAACAAGAAAUAACUAAUAAAGAAAAUCUAGAACUAAUAAAUACAGAAGUAAAUACUCUAAAUAAAAAUAUAAUACUUAGUACAGCAGAAAUAAGAAAACCAACCUAUAAUUACAAAAAUAAGUUUAAAAUAUAUAAUCCAAAGUAAUAUAAUAAAUGGACACCAAAAUAAAUAAUUAAUUAUAACUUUUUAGAUUUAUAUUGUGUAAUAGACACAAAUAAAAUAAUACAACUAUGGGUAGGAUAUAUGUCAAAAUAAUUAUUAGAUAAUAAAAUAGAUACAACAAACACACCGAAAUAUAUAGAAAAAACAUUAAUAAGAACAGCAAAAUUAUGGUUUUUAAAUCUAGCCGAAGCAAUUAAAAAAGUAUUCAGAUCUGAUAAUAAAAUAGAAGGAACAUUAACAACAACUAAAAUACCACCAACAGAAAUAGUAAAAAAAUGUGAAAUAGCUAUAAGACAUGAAUUUAGCAGUGUAACAACAGAAGAAGAGCAAAAUAAAGAAAAAGAUAUAAAUAGAAAUUUAAUGUUAAAACUAGCAAUAUAUAAUAUGUGCUAUAUAGAUGAGUAUACGUGCGCAUUUUAAGAAUAUUAUUAUAAAGGAACAUAUAAUAUAGAAGAAAGUAAAGAAAUAAGAAGAUUAUAGUUUAGUAAAUUACCCGAACCAUUUAGUUCAAAAAUAAUAAACAGUUGGGAUGAAGCAAAAAUAGUAGAUACCCUAGGAGUAAGAAUAAAAUUUUUACAACAAUGGUAUAUAAAUCUAUGAGAAAAAUAUAGAGAAGAAAUAAAAAUGAAAAAAACAUUACUAAGAAAUUUAGCAUGUUGCAAAGAUAAAAUAGCACCUAAAUUUGGAUGUGAAGAAAGAUAUUAUAAGAAAAGAAACAGACAUAAGAAAUACAAGAAAUACAAAAAAUCAAAAUAUAAAUAUAAGAAACCAAGAAAAAGAUAUUAUGUAAAAAAUUUCCAUAUAGGAAAAAAAAUCUAUAAAAGAAUGUACUUGUUAUGAUUGUGGAAAACUAGGACAUUUAGCUAGACAUUGUAAAUUGCCAAAAAAACCCGAAAAAGCAACAAAUAUCAGAAAUAAAAAUAGAAAAUACAGAAUAUAUACAGAUAGAUUAUAUAGAUUAUGAAUAAGAAAGUGAAGAUAGUAUAUAUAAAAUUUUGAAGAAUGAAACAGAUCAUGAAAUAGAUAGUGAAUUAGAUGAAUCAAAUGGCAGAUAUAAAAAUAAACCAAAUAACUGAAGAAGAUACAAAAAUAAUAACAAAGGAAGAAUAUUUAAAUGAAAAAAGAACAGACGAAAAAAUAAUAUUUGAUAAUAAUAUAUUUGACGAAAUAAAAAGAAAAGAGUUAGACUUAAGUGUAGUGAAAAUAUUUAAAAUACCAACAACAAAAAAUAUAUUUAGUAGAAAAAGGGAAGAAUACUAUGUAGUAAGCCAAAAAGAACAUGUAAUAGAUUGUAGAUAUGCAAAAGGAAGAGAUAGUAUACCACUAGUAACAAAGAGAAUGAUUAAUAAAGAAAUAAAUGAUAUAAAAAGUAAAGACCCUAUAAAAUAUGUACACCUUGGAGGAACAGCGAUAUUAAUAAAAGCAUGUUUUAGAGAAGGAAUAGAUACACCAAUAGAAUUAUAUUUAGCAGAUGAUAGAAUUACAAAACCUAUAGAAAAAAAUAUAAUAACUACCAUAAAAGCAAAUUUAAUAUGCCAAAAAUUUAAAUUUAUAAUAAGUGUGAAUUAUUCAGUAGCAAUAACAGAUAAAAAUAUAGAUAAAUCAUUAGUAUUAUAUAGGAAAAUAUCAGGAAUAGAACUAACCCCAGGAAGUAAAAUAUGUACAUCAAGAUAUAAAAAUCUAUAUGUAUUAACAACAAAACAUAAAAUAACAGAAAAAUAAAAUUACUUAAAUAGAAAUAGAAAGUCCUUUUGAACAAUUCGUAAAAAUAAUUGAUAAUAAUGAUUAUAGUUACAAAAAUAGAGACAGAAGAAGAUUUAGAAAUAAUAAAUGAUAGAAUAAGUACAUCAAAAAGAAUAGCUCAUGAAAAAACAGAAUCAUCAAGCUCGUCAAAAAGAACAAGUUAUGAAACAACUUCAACAGUUAAUUUAAACUAAUAUUACAUAACAGGAACAAUAAAUGAAAAAGAAUAUUUAAUACUCUUAAACACAGGACAAGAAGAAAAUUGUAUAGCAAAAUAUCUAGUAAAAAGUGAAAAAAAAAAUCUAAUAGUAAUAUAUGCUCAGAUCUGCCAAGGAGUCUAAUAAACAUUAGGGAUACACCAGAAAAAGAAAUAAUAAUAGGAGUUAGAAAAAUAAAAAUAUGAUUUGGAAUAAAGGAAGAAAUGCAAAAAGCAAACAUAAUAUUAGGAAUAAAAUGGUUAGAAUAAGUAAAACCAUACAAUAUAGAACAUACACAAUUAUCUAUAACAUAUAAUAAAGAAAGACUAUUCAUAAAAAGAGCUUUAACAUGAUAUGAAAGUAAUGAUAUGCAAAUAUAUGUACUUGUAAAAAUAAUAGUAAAAGGCUAUUAUAAUAGGUAUUAUACACAUAUGAUAGAUACAGGAGUAAAAACAAACUUAUGUAGAUACAACUGUUUACCAGAAGGUAAAUGGGAUAAGCUAAAAGUACCAAUAAUUGUCAAAGGAUUUAAUAAUGAAGGAAGCUUAAUUACAUAUAAAGAUAAGAAUGUAAAAAUACAGAUAUAAGAUAAAAUAAUAACGAUAGAAGAAAUCUAUAAUUAUGAAUUAACAUCAAAAGAUAUGCUUUUAGGAAUGCACUUUGGAUUUAAUAAUGAAGGAAGCUUAAUUACUUAUAAAGCUAGGAAUGUAAAAAUACAAGUAUGGGAUAAGAUAUUAACAAUAGAAGAAAUUUAUAAUUAUGAAUUAACAUCAAAAGAUAUACUUUUAGGAAUGCCAUUUUUAGAUAAAUUAUACCCACAUAUAAUAACCAAAACAGACUGGUGGUUUACAACACCAUGCAAACAAAAAGUAAGAGCAAAAAGAGUUAAUAAUAAAAUAAGAAAGAAAACUGAUUGGAUAAAAGGAAGUGAAAAAAUUACACAAAAGUUAGAAAAUAUAAACAAUACUGAAGAUACAGUAGAACUAGUAGUAUUUUCGAUAAAUAAAACAGAAAUAACUAUAUUUUCAAUAAAUAAAAUAGAAAUAAUUCAGAAAAAAUUAGAACAAUUAUAUAGUGAAGAUCCAUUAAAAGGAUGGGAAAAACACAAAACUACUAUAAAAAUUGAAUUAAUAGAUAAGAAUAGCAUAAUAACACAAAAACCAUUAACAUAUAAUUUUGAUGAUUUAAAAGAAUUUAAAAUGCACAUAGAUGAAUUAUUAGAAAAACAAUAUAUACAAAAAAGUAAUAGUAAACAUAAUAGUCCAGCAUUUAUAGUAAAUAAACAUAGUGAACAAAAAAGAGGAAAAAGUAGGAUGGUUAUUGACUAUAGAAAUUUAAAUGCAAAAACUAUAACAUAUAAUUAUCCGAUACCAAAUAAGAUAUUAAAAAUAAGACAAAUCCAAGGAUAUAAUUAUUUUAGCAAAUUUGAUUGUAAAUCAGGAUUUUACCACCUAAAGCUAGAAGAAGAAUCUAAAGAAUUAACCGCAUUUACGGUACCACAAGGAUUUUAUGAAUGGAACGUGUUACCCUUUGGAUAUAAAAAUGCACCAGGUAGAUAUCAACAUUUUAUGGAUAAUUAUUUUAAACAAUUAUCUAAUUGUAUAGUAUACAUAGAUGAUAUAUUAUUAUAUACAAAAACUAAAGAAGAACAUUUAAAAUUAUUAGAACAGUUCACAGAUAUAAUAGAAAAAUCAGGAAUAAGUCUAAGCAAAAAGAAAGCUGAAAUUAUGAAAAACCAGAUAGAAUUUUUAGGAAUACAAAUAGAUAAAAGUGGACUAAGAAUGCAACAACAUAUAGUACAAAAAAUAAUAAAUUCAAAAGAAGAAUUAGAUACAAAAAAGAAAUUACAAUCAUUUUUAGGAUUAGUAAACCAAGUAAGAGAAUACAUACUAAAAUUAGCAGAAAACCUAAAGCCCUUAUAGAAAAAAUUAAAAAAGGAUGUAGAAUAUAAUUACAAUAAAGAAGACAAAAAACAAGUCCAGAAAAUAAAAAUACUUUGUAAAGAGUUACCAAAAUUACAAUUUCCAGACGAAAAUAAAAAAUUUAUAUAUAUAGUAGAAGCAGAUGCUAGUGAAUAUAGUUAUGGAGGAGUACUUAAAUAUAGAUAUGAAGAAAAAAAUUAGAACACCAUUGUAGAUACUACUCAGGUACAUUUAAUGAAACAGAAAUAUAAUAGGAAAUAAAUAGAAAAGAAUUAUGUUCAUUAUAUAAAUUUUUAUUAGCAUUUGAACCAUAUAUUGUAUAUAAAAAAAUUAUUGUGAGGAUAGAUAAUACCCAGGUUCGAUGGAGGUUAACAAGAAAAAUACAAAACUCAGUUACGACGAAGAAAAUUUGGAGAUUAGUAUUGAAUAUAUUACAUUUUACAUUUACGAUUGAAGUAAUCAAGACUGAUAAGAAUGUUAUUGCAGAUUACAUAUCAAGACAAAGCUACUCAAACUGAUUUACCAAUGGAAGAAGCUGAUGUCAAAGAUACCCAAAUAGACUUAAUAUUACAACUGUUUGAACAAAUAAAGUUAUUAUAAGAACGAGUUAUCACAUUAACUACUGAAGUUACAGAUGUAAAAGAGCAGGUUGAGCACUAUAAAAAACAAGAAAAAGCUAUUAGCAAAGAUACUGUGCAGCAAAAACACAUUAAAAACUAGACCUAGAAGGUGACGAUGAGAAACAUCUAAAAACUCAAAUUACUAACGAAAUUACAAUUACAGCUGCAGGCGCAGAAGAUGUAUCCAAAGAAAAGAAUAUAGUCACUCAAAAUAAACCUGAACCACCAAAGAAAAAGAAUUAUAACCUCAACUAGAUAUUCUCGAAACCAUAUACACCAAAUAUACAAAAAUCAGAGUCAUCUAUACCUCCCCAGAUUCACACAUAUUCCUAAUCACUCAAUCAAUAAAAACAGACUUAUAAUCGUAUCACUCGUACAUAUAUUGAUAAUAUUUAUACUUUACAAAAAUUGUUAAAUACAAAACCUAUCUAGAGUAAAGAUUUAGCAAAACAACACCAAGGAUAUAUUACACAAAAAUGUCAGAACUAUAACAAACUUAUGGCUUUGCCUGGCACCAGUGCUAACUUAAUUACUUCAUGUUACUAUUAUGAAUUAUUAUCUAAAGUUUACACAACUGCUGGAGAAGAGUUAACAGGAAUUCCAGACAUUUAUAGAGGAUUUAUGGAGUAUUUAUUUCUGUGUUUGUAUUUUCUAAGUUUUCUUUAUUAAUUACUUCUUGUUUUUCAUGAAUAUUUUAUCCAUAAAGUUAUCCUUGUUUUUCUCUAACUCUUUUAAUAUAUUCUAAUAUUUUUAAUCUGUAUAAUACCUAUCUGAAUAAUAACUAUUAUUAUCUAAGUAAUAACUAUCUGAAUAAUAUAAACUAAGAUCAUGCAUAUCUUCUAACCAUUCAAGACUUAAUGAUUCUUCAUAAAAUAUUUUUCCCAUAUUAUUUUCUUUAUGUCUUCUAAUUCUAAGUCUUUUAUGAUAUAUAAAAUGAGUAUCUUAAUUUCAUCAGAUAUAUAACUUGUCAUAUUAUUCAUAUGAUACUUAGGUUUCUAUGAAUAACUUGGAUAACUUGGAAUUGAAUUCUAGUAAUUAAAUGCUUUAUCAUAGUAUUUAUUAGUUGUUUGUUUUAAUCUUAAUAAUUCUUGUAUAUUUUCAUUAAGAAAUUCUAUAUAUUUUAUAUCCUUAGUUCUCAUAUAUUUUUCUAGAUUGGUUUUCACUAGUUUUACUACUAAUUUUAUAUUUUUCAUAUCAAUUUUUCAAUAUUCUAAAUAUACGUAAUUUAUCAUGGUUGAUAUGUAGAGUUGGUAUGUAGGUAUUUGUAAGAAUAGGUAGGUAGGUGUGGUAUGGAAUUUAUUCUAGUCAUAAAAUAUUUACCAAAUAUUUUUUCUAUUAUGAUUUUUCUUAAUCAACAAUUUCUAUAUCCUUGAGUGCAUACAAAACAAGUAUUUUAAAUUUAUCUACCAUUUCGUCAAAUAAAUAAGAAUUCAUUUUUCAUAUGAUGCUUUUUUCAAAAUAUUCCCUUCAAUCAUACACAUAACAAAAUAUGAUCAUUUUAGAUUACUAUAUACUAGAUUAUUCUUAAAUAACAUGUUCUUCGGUCAUUAUUAGCACGGUAAUCUGUAUACUUUUCUCUUAAACAGUGCCUCUACUCUGGCAACUCCCCAUCACGGCUUUCUUGCCUCCCCGAUUUCACCUUUAGGAAAGCAUAGUUCUUAGGGAUUUUUCUCCUUUUUCACUUUGCUAAUAAACUUUGUAACAUAUUAUUUUUCAAAUAAUUCUACUAAAAAGUAACUAUCAUGAACUUAUUUUAUCAUAUCAUGAUUGUCAAUAAUUUAUGAAUUUAGCUAUUCAUAAUCGUAAAUAAAUAUACCUGUUCUGGUAGGUUUGAUAAUUCUGGGCUUUGUUUAUCCAUAGCUUUUCCUUGGAAAUAUAUCUAUUUUUUAUUAAAUAUUCAAAAGUUUUUUGUUUUGUGUACAAAGGAGAAGGCUUGCUUUCAACACAUGAAAGUCUUGCCUUUAACUUAGCUGGAUGGCUUACAUAUUUAUAAGAGAAAAAGAAACUAUUCCUAAUUUACAUGUUUUACAUGUAAACUAUUUUAUACUUUACACUUGUCCUAUCUGCAAAAGACUUUACAAAAAAUCUUAAGACUAUUCUACAAAACAACAAAAUUAAUAAAGACUAAAACUAUACAAUAAUGGCACUUUGCCAUAGAAAAGUCAAAAAGUUAUCAAAAACUAGUAAAUGCUAUAAUAACUUACAUAUCUAAAGUCAAGGAAACUAUUCACAUGUCAUUUUCUUUCAUAACUUUUACUAUUUUGUCUUCUUUCUCUUCCCUUAUUGCUCCGUUGAUUUUCUCUUCUAGCUGGCGACCUUAUCUUCUUGGUUGAUUUUUUCUUUUAUUCUAGGUAGACUUUCGGGAUAAUAUUAUCUUCUCCAUUACAUCUCGAAUAUUGAUGGUCUGGAUAUUUAUGUCCAAUUAUCUUGCAAUAUCUUGUUAAUAAUUCUUCUGAAAUAAAUCCUUCCCUAAUUGCUCUUGCAGUUUGUUGUUUCUCUGGGUUGAGUAAUGUUAGAAUCCAUUGUCUAGCAUCUUCCAUAUCUUUUUGUUUUAGUUCUUUUGAAUUUAAAUAAAUCAUUUGGUGAUCUCUUGAAUAAUAGCUCCAUAUUGGGUUUCCACUGAUAUAAUUAUUUGCUAAUUCUUGAACAAUUAUAGCUAUUCCAAUAAGUCAUUUAUUUGCAUAGAAAUCAGGUAUCUCAGUUUUAGGUAUCUCUGGCUGCUGAACAAUAUUUUUUGGUAUAAUCAUAUCUCUGGUUAAUCCUAUUUUUACAAUUUGUAUAACUGGUUUGAUCUCGUCAUAGAAUAUUUCUGCUGGUGCAGUAUAAAACUUUAUAAAAAAUAAAUUCCCUUUGAUUAUUCUUUUAUAAAUGGUGAAUUCUCUAUGUAAUUCUGGUAUAGCUGAUAGUUCAUCUCCAUCUUGGGUAUAUACGGUAUUUAAUAAUCCAUAACUGAAACAAGUUUUAACUAAGGUUGGGUUGGUUUUAGGUAGUGCGAUUAACUUGUUGUAACCUUGCAAUUUUUGGGUUAGUUCGUAUUUGGUUCUUGGAUAUCUGUGGCUCUGGGUUUAAGGUUUAGAUAAGUUUGCAUUUUGUGGAUAUUUUUUAUGUAUGCUAGGGUUAUAUGGUUAUACGCUUUUUAUCUUGGUUCAAACUUUCUCGAUAUGUGGUAAUUUUUGGGGGUAUGUACAAGGGGUCUUUUUGUGUUUUAGGUACAAAUAGUUUUUCAAAUAUCUUAUUCAUGUUCAUGUUCUGGUAUCUUUGUCCACUAACUCCUUUGCUUGUACCUAAAAUUGUAGAUUGAUAAACGUUAUGGGUUUUAUGGAGUGUCCCAGCGUCUCCUUUUAGCUUUGAAAUUUUAUUGUCUUUCGAUCGACAUAGCUUUGGACACUACUGAGUUAGCUGAUUCAUUGCUUUAGAUUUCAGUUUAACUUCAUUAGUCUGUAGCUUUUCUAUUUCAUUACCUAUACCGUCCACUUUUAUUGAAAGCGUAGUUAGAGUUUUGAAUAUUUUUUCUAAAGCACCAUCUUCUAUUAUAUCAGUUUGUGUAACUUUGUCUUGAUAUGUAAUCUGCAAUAACAUUUUUGUUAGUACUAAUUACUUUAAUUGUAAAUGUAAAAUUUAAUAUAUUCACUACUAGUCUAUGAAUUUCUUUCAUUGUAACUGAAUUUUGUAUUUACUUUGUUAACCACCAACGUACCUGUGUAUUAUAUGUUCGUACAAUAAAUUUGUUGUAUACAAUAUAUGGCUCAAAUGCUAAUAAACAUUUAUAUAAUGAACAUAAUUCUUUUCUAUUUCUUUUCCAUUUUAUUUUUGUUUCAUUAGACGUACCUGAGUAGUAUCUACAAUGAUGUUCUAAUUUUUCUUCUUCAUAUCUAUAUUUAAGUACUCCUCCAUAACUAUAUUCACUAGCAUCUGCUUCUACUAUCUAUAUAAAUUUUUUAUUUUUGUCUGAAAAUUAUAAUUUUGGUAACUCUUUACAAAUUAUUUUUAUUUUCUGUACUUGUUUUUUAUCUUCUUCGUUAUAAUUAUAUUUUACAUCCUUUUUUAAUUUUUUCUGUAAUAAUUUUGGAAUAUAUUCUCUUACUUGAAUUACUACUCCUAAAAAUGAUUAUAAUUUCUUUUUUGUAUCUAAUUCUUCUUUUGAAUUUAUUUUUUGUACUAUAUGUUGUUGCAUUUUUACUCCACUUUUAUCUAUUUGUAUUCCUAAAAACUCUAUAUGAUUUUUCAUAAUUUUGGCUUUCUUUACACUUAAAUUUAUUCUCAAUUUCUAUUAUAUCUGUAAAUUGUUCUAAUAAUUUUAAAUGUUCCUCUUUAUUUUUUGUAUAUAGUAGUAUAUCAUCUAUGUAUACUAUACAAUUAGGUAAUGUUUAAAAUAACUAUCCAUAAAGUGUUGGUAUCUAUGUGGUACAUUUUUAUAUCCAAAUGGUAAUACGUUCCAUUCAUAAAAUUCUUGUGGUACCGUAAAUGUGGUUAAUUUCUUAGAAUUUUCAUCUAACUUUAAGUGGUAAAAUCCUGAUUUACAAUCAAAUUUAGUAAAGUAGUUAUAUCCUUGUAUUUUUCUUAUUUUUAAUAUCUUAUUUGGUAUUGGAUAAUUGUAUGUCAUAGUUUUUUUUAUUUAAAUUUCUAUAGUCAAUCACCAUUCUACUUUUUCCUCUUUUUUGUUCACUAUGUUUAUUUACUAUAAACGCUGUGCUAUUAUGUUUACUAUUGUUUCUUUGUUUAUACUAUUUUUCUAAUAAUUCAUCUAUAUGCAUUUUAAAUUCUUUUAAAUCGUCAAAAUUAUAUGUUAAUGGGUUUUGAGUUAUUAUGCUAUUUUUAUCUAUUAAUUCAAUUAUUAUAGUAGUUUUAUGUUUUUCCCAUCAUUUUAAUGGAUCUUUACUAUAUAAUUGUCUUAAUUUUUUCUUUAUUAUUUCUACCUUAUCUAUUGAAAAUAUCUUUUUGCUCUUACUUUUUGUUUACAUGGGGUUGUAAACCACCAAUCUGUUUUAGUUAUUAUAUGUGGGUAUAAUUUAUCUAAAAAUGACAUUUCUAAAAGCAUAUCUUUUGAUGUUAGUUCAUAAUUAUAGAUUUCUUCUAUUGUUAUUAUUUUAUCCCAUAUCUGUAUUUUUACAUUCUUAGCUUUAUAUGUAAUUAAGCUUCCUUCAUUAUUAAAUCCUUUGACUACUAUUGGUGUUUUUAAUUUCUCUCAAUUACUUUCUGGUAACCAGUUGUAUCCACAUAAGUUUGCUUUUGCUCCUGUAUCUAUCAUAGGCGUAUAAUACCUAUUAUAAUAUCCUUCUAUUAUUAUUUUUACAUGUGCAUAUAUUUUCAUAUCAUGUUAAAACUCUUUUUAUGAAUAAUCUUUCUUUAUUAUAUAUUAUAGAGAAUUGUGUAUGUUCUAUAUUGUAUGAUUUUACUUGUUCUAACUGUUUUAUUCCUAAUAUUAUGUCUUCUUUUUGCAUAUUUUCCUUUAUUUCAAAUUCUAUUUUUAUUUUUCUAAAUUCUAUUAUUAUUUUCUUUUCAGCUAUAUCCUUAAUGUAUAUUAGACUCCUUGGUAGAUCUGGGCAUAUAUUACUAUGAGAUUUUAUUUCUUCACUUUUUACUAGAUAUUUUGCUAUAUAAUUUUCUUCUUGUCCUGUGUUUAAGAGUAUUAAAUAUUAUUUUUCAUUUAUUGCUCCUGUUAUGUAAUAUUGAUUUAAAUUAACUGUUGAAGUUGUUUCAUAACUUGUUCUUUUUUAUGAGCUUGAUGAUUCUAGUUUUUCAUGAGCUAUUCUUUUUGAUGUACUUAUUCUAUCAUUUAUUAUUUCUAAAUCUUCUUCUAUAUAUGUCUUUGUAACUAUAAUCAUUAUUAUCAAUUGUUUUACAAAUUGUUCAAAAGAACUUUCUAUUUGUAUUUUAUUAAUUUUAUUUUUUCCUGUUAUUUUAUGUUUUGUUGUUAAUACAUAUAGAUUUUUACAUCUUGCUAUAAAUAUCUUACUUCCUGGGGUUAGUUCUAUCCCUGAUAUUUUUCAAUAUAAUACUAAUGAUUUAUCUAUAUUUUUAUCUGNNNNNNNNNNNNNNNNNNNNNNNNNNNNNNNNNNNNNNNNNNNNNNNNNNNNNNNNNNNNNNNNNNNNNNNNNNNNNNNNNNNNNNNNNNNNNNNNNNNNNNNNNNNNNNNNNNNNNNNNNNNNNNNNNNNNNNNNNNNNNNNNNNNNNNNNNNNNNNNNNNNNNNNNNNNNNNNNNNNNNNNNNNNNNNNNNNNNNNNNNNNNNNNNNNNNNNNNNNNNNNNNNNNNNNNNNNNNNNNNNNNNNNNNNNNNNNNNNNNNNNNNNNNNNNNNNNNNNNNNNNNNNNNNNNNNNNNNNNNNNNNNNNNNNNNNNNNNNNNNNNNNNNNNNNNNNNNNNNNNNNNNNNNNNNNNNNNNNNNNNNNNNNNNNNNNNNNNNNNNNNNNNNNNNNNNNNNNNNNNNNNNNNNNNNNNNNNNNNNNNNNNNNNNNNNNNNNNNNNNNNNNNNNNNNNNNNNNNNNNNNNNNNNNNNNNNNNNNNNNNNNNNNNNNNNNNNNNNNNNAAUAUCAAAUAUAGAAACAACAAUAGAGAGUCUAGAAUAUAUAUAUAUAUAUAUAUAUAUAUAUAUAUAUAUUAAAAUAACCUAUAUAUAUCUAAAUAAAAUGAACAAAGAAGAAUUUAUAAUAGAUGAAAAACAUAUAAAAAUCACGAACGAUCAAAAUUAAAAUAGUAUUCUCUAAUCUAGGAAGAAGAUAUAAGAAAAUAGGUGAACAUUUAUAUUUAAUGUUAGUAAAAGAAGAAUUAAAAUUAGAAGAUAAGUUGGCAGCCAUGGUAAAAAUUGAAAGAGAAAACGAAGAGAUAAACAGAAAAAAGGAAAUAUAUAAAAUAAACAACAAACCAUAGAAGAAAUAUGAAAAAUAGAAGAAACUAAAAAUAGUAGGAUUGUUGAAUUAGAAAAAGAACUAAAAAUGCUAAAAGAUUUGUAUGAAAAAAAGAAGAAAGAAAAAGAAGCAAAAGAUAAAGAACAAAAAUUAUAAAUUGAGAUAAAUCAAUUUAAAUAAAAAUUAGAAAGAGAAAAUAAAGAAUUAGAAACCAGUGAAUUAGAAAUAAAUACAAUAGAUGCAGAAGAAACAGAUAAUUAUGACUCGGAAUAUAGUGAAACAUAUACAGAAAUUUUAGAAAACAUAAGAAAACUAGAAAUUAAUGAAAAACAAGAAGUAUUUAGUAAAGAAAAUCUAGAACUAAGAAAUACAAAAGUAAAUACUCUAGAUAAAAAUAUAAUACCUAGUACAUUAGAAAUAAGAAAACCAAUCUAUAGUUACAAAAAUAAGUUUAAGGAUGAAUAAUAAAUGGACACAAAAAUAAAUAAUUAAUUACAACUUUUUAGAUUUAGACUGUGUAAUGGACACAAAUAAAACAAUACAACUAUGGGUACGAUAUAUGUCAAAACAAUUAUUAGAUAAUAAAAUAGAUACAACAAACACACCGGAAUAUAUAAAAAAGACAUUAAUAGGAACAUAAAAAUUAUGGUUUUUAAACCUAGCCAAAGCAAGUUAAAAAGUAUUAAGAUCUGAUAAUAAAACAGAAGAAACAUCAACAACAACUACCAACAGAAAUAUUGAAAAAAUAUGAAAUAGCUAUAAGAGAUGAAUUUAGCAGUGUAACAACAGAAAAAGAGCAAAAUAAAUAAAAAGAUAUAAAUAGAUAUUUAAUGUUAAAACUAGCAUAUGUAAUAUGUGCUAUAUAGAUGAGUAUACGUGCGCAUUUUAAGAAUAUUAUUAUAAAGGAGCAUAAAAUAUAGAAGAAAGUAAAAAAAUAAGAAGAUUAUAUUUUAGUAAAUUACCCGAACCAUUUAGUUCAAAAAUAAUAAAAAGUUGGGAUGAAGCAAAAAUAGUAAAUACCCUAGGAGCAAGAAUAAAAUUUUUACAACAAUGAUAUAGCAAUCUAUUUGAAAAGUAUAGAGAAGAAAUAAAAAUGGAAAAACAUUAAUAAGAAAUUUAUCAUGUUGCAAAGAUAAUAUAGGACCUCAAUUUGGAUGUGAAGAAAGAUAUUAUAAGAAAAAAGAAAAAGACAUAAGAAAUACAAGAAAUCAAAAUAUAAGUAUAAGAAACCAAGAAAAAAAUAUUAUGUAAAAAAAUUAUAAACAUAAAAGACCAUAUAGGAAAAAGAAAUCUAUAAAAAAAAAUGUACUUGUUAUAAUUGUGGAAAACUAGGACAUUUAGCUAGAGAUUUUAAAAUACCUAAAAAUCCAAAAACGAAACAAAUAUCAGAAAUAAAGAUAGAAUAUAUGCAGAUAGAUUAUAUAGAUUAUGAAUUAGAAGUGAAGAUAGUAUAUAUAAAAUUUCAGAGAAUUAAUUAGAUAAUGAAAUAGAUAGUGAAUUAAAUAAAUCAAAUGACUGAAGAAGAUAUAAAAAUAAUAACAAUGGAAGAAUACUACGUAGUAAAUCAAAAAGAACAAGUAAUAGACUGUAGAUAUGCAAAAGGAAGAGCUAGUAUACCACUAGUAAUAAAGAAUAAUUAAUAAAGAAAUAAACGACAUAAAAAACAAAGACCCAAUAAAAUAUGUACACCUUGGAGGAACAGAGAUAUUAAUAAAAGCAUGUUUUAGAGAAGGAAAUAGAUACACUAAUUGAAUUAUAUUUAGCAGAUGAUAGAAUUAUAAAAUCUUUAGAAAAAAGUAUAAUAACUGUUAUAAAAGGAAAUUUAAUAUACCAAAAAUUUAAAUUUAUAAUAAGUGCGAAUUAUUCAAUAGCAAUAAAAGAUAAAAAUAUAGAUAAAUCAUUAGUAUUAUAUUGGAAAAUAUCAAGAAUAGAACUAACCCCAGGAAGUAAAAUAUUUAUAGCAAGAUGUAAAAAUCUAUAUGUAUUAACAAAAAAACAUAAAAUAACAGAAAAAAUAAAUUUAAUUAAAUACAAAUAGAAAGUCCUUUUGAACAAUUCGUAAAAACAAUUGAUAAUAAUGAUUAUAGUUACAAAAAUAUAGACAUAGAAGAAGAUUUAUAAAUAAUAAAUGAAAGAAUAAAUAUAGCAAAAAGAAUAGCUCAUGAAAAAACAGAAUCAUCAAGCUCGUCAAAAAGAACAAGUUAUGAAACAACUUCAACGGUUAAUUUAAACUAAUACUACAUAACAGGAACAAUAAAUGAAAAAGAAUAUUCAAUACUCUUUAACACAAAAUUAUAUAGCAAAAUAUCUAGUAAAAAGUGAAGAAAUAAAAUCUAAUAGUAAUAUAUGCCCAGAUCUACCAACGAGUCUAAUAUACAUUAAAGAUAUAGCUGAAAAGGAAAUAAUAAUAGAAUUUAGAAAAAUAAAAAUAGAAUUUGAAAUAAAGGAAAAUAUGCAAAAAGGAGACAUAAUAUUAGGAAUAAAAUAGUUAGAACAAGUAAAAUUAUACAAUAUAGAACAUACACAAUUAUCUAUAACAUAUAAUAAAGAAAGAUUAUUCGUAAAAAGAGUUUUAACAUGAUAUGAAAAUAUAUGCACUUGUAAAAAUAAUAAUAGAAGGAUAUUAUAAUAGGUAUUAUACACUUAUGAUAGAUACAGGAGCAGAAGCAAACUUAUGUAGAUACAACUGUUUAUCAGAAAGUAAAUGAGAUAAAUUAAAAACACCAUUAUUAGUCAAAGGAUUUAAUAAUGAAGGAGGUUUAAUUACAUAUAAAGCUAAAAGUGUAAAAAUACAGAUAUGGGAUAAAAUAAUAACAAUAGAAGAAAUCUAUAAUUAUGAACUAACAUCAAAAGAUAUGCUUUUAGGAAUGUCAUUUUUAGAUAAAUUAUACCCACAUAUAAUAACUAAAUCAGAUUGAUGGUUUACAACACCAUGUAAAAAAAAAGUAAGAGCAAAAAGAGUUACUAAUAAAAUAAGAAAGAAAACUGAUUGGAUAAAAGGAAAUGAAAAAAUUACACAAAAGUUAGAAAAGAUAAAAAAUACAGAAGAUACAGUUGAACUUAUUGUAUUUUCGAUAAAUAAAAUAGAAAUAACUAUACUUUCAAUAGAUAAGAUAGAAAUAAUAAAGAAAAGAUUAAGAUAAUUAUAUAGUGAAGAUUCAUUAAAAGGAUGGGAAAAACACAAAACUACUAUAAAAAUUGAAUUGAUAGAUAAAAAUAGAAUAAUAACUUAAAGUUUGAUGAAAAUUCUAAGGAAUUAACCGCAUUUACGGUACCACAAGGAUUUUAUGAAUGGAACGUACUACCAUUUGGAUAUAAAAGUGCACCAGGUAGAUACCAACAUUUUAUGGAUAGUUACUUUAAACAAUUACCUAAUUGUAUAGUACACAUAGAUGAUAUACUACUAUAUACAAAAACUCAAGAGAAACAUUUAAAAUUAUUAGAACAAUUUAUAUAUAUAAUAGAAAAAUCAGGAAUAAGUUUAAGUGAAAAGAAAGCCGAAAUUAUGAAAAACCAAAUAGAGUUUUUAGGAAUACAAAUAGAUAAAAGUGGAGUAAAAAAGCAACAAUAUAUAGUACAAAAAAUAAUAAAUUCAAAAGAAGAAUUAGAUAGAAAAAAGAAAUUAUAAUCAUUUUUAGGAUUAGUAAACCAAGUAAGAUAAUAUAUACCCAAAUUAGCAGAAAACCUAAAGCCUUUAUGGAAAAAAUUUAAAAAGGAUUUAGAAUAUAAUUACACGGAAGAAGAUAAAAAACAAGUUCAGAAAAUAAAAAUACUUUGUAAAGAAUUACCAAAAUUACAAUUCCCAGAUGAAAAUAAAAAAUUUACAUAUAUAGUAGAAGAAGACGCAAGUGAAUAUAGUUAUGGAGGAGUACUUAACUAUAGAUAUGAAGAAGAAAAAUUAGAACACCAUUGUAGAUACUACUCAGGUACAUUUAAUGAAACAAAAAUAAAAUAGAAAAUAAAUAGAAAAGAAUUAUGUUCAUUAUAUAAAUGUUUAUUAGCAUUUAAACCAUAUAUUGUAUACAACAAAUUUUUUGUGAGAGCAGAUAAUACCCAAGUUCGAUGGUGGUUAACAAGAAAAAUACAAAAUUCAGUUACGACAAAGGAAAUUCAGAGAUUAGUAUUGAAUAUAUUAAAUUUUACAUUUACGAUUGAAGUAAUCAAGACUGACAAGAAUGUUAUUGCAGAUUACAUAUCAAGACAAAGCUACUCAAACAGAUUUACCAAUGAAAGAAGCUGAUGUCAAAGAUACCCAAAUAGACUUAAUAUUACAAGUAUUUAAAUAAAUGAAGUUAUUACAAGAAUAAGUUAUCACAUUAACUACUGAAGUUACAGAUGUAAAAGUGCAGGUUGAGCACUAUAAAAAACAAGAAAAAGCUAUUAGCAAAGAUACUAUGCAGGAAAAGCACAUUAAAAAACUAGACCUAGAAGGUGACGAUGAGAAACACCUAAAACCUCAAACAGAUAUUCUCAAAACCAUAUACACCAAAUAUACAAAAAUCAGAGUCAUCCAUACCUCCUCAGAUACACACAUAUUCCGAAUCACUCAAUCAAUAAAAGCAAACUUAUAACCAUAUCACUCGUACAUAUAUUGAUUAUAUUUAUACUUUACAAAAAUUGUUAAAUACAAAACCUAUCCAGAGUAAAGAUUUAGCAAAACAACACCAAGGAUAUGUCACACAAAAAUGUCAGAACUAUAACAAACUUAUUGCUUUGCCUGGUACCAGUGCAAACUUAAUUACUUCAUGUUACUAUUAUGGAUUAUUAUCUACAGUUUACAUAGCUAUAGGAGAAAAGUUAACACGAAUUCCAGAUAUAUACAAAGGAUUUAUGAUUAUAAGAGGAUUACGAAGGGACGGUUAUUCUAUGUUCGUUUCUACUCAGCACUAGCAGAAAUAUUGUUUGAUGAAAUAAAAUAGGUAAUUACUGUUGUCAAGAUAGGAAUGACAUGAGAUUAUAUUAUCCCUGAAGAAAUAUGCGAACAAUAAGAAAUAACCAAAAAUUAGAUACCGAACUUCUACCGAAACAAGAGAGUUAUUGGACUUAGCAGUAUAUUAAUUGAGUUAGCAAAUAAUUGUAUAAAUCAAAACCCAGUUUGGAUAUACUAUAACAGAAAUCAAUUAUUGGUUUACUCUACUUGUAAAAGUAUUAUAGAAAAUGACAGAGAAGAGAUAAGAAAAUGGGUCAUAACUAUCCUAAAACAAGAAGAGUUAUCAGUCACAAGAUCUAUUACGAAAGGAGUUAUUUCAGAAAAAGCUAUGGAUCAAUUCUGUAAACAGGUUGGCCAAAGAUAUGAUGACCAUGUAUGCAACAGAUGUAGUGGCAAACAUAACUUUAUUCCAGAUGUGAUGCUACAAUAGCAAGAAGAUGAAAAAGCAGCAGAUACGAUAAGAAGAAGAUAAAAAAGAGACAGUAACAAAGCAAUGAUAGAAGAAGACAAAGCAUUAAAGAUAUGAAAUGACAUAUGAAGAAAAAGCUAAACUUCCUAUGUAAAUUAUUGUAAAGUAUUAAUAGCCUUUUUGACUUUUCUUUUCAUAUAUUAGGCUUUUUGACUUUUCGGCCAAAAAACUAUUAUUAGUUUUUGUUUUUUAGUUACCUUUAAGUCUUUAUUUUCAGAAUGUAAAGACUUAUUUGUAAAUUAGAAUACGUGUAAAGUAGGAACAGUAUAGAAAUAGUAUACACGUUUUUAUUUCUUAGGUUAUAAAUAGAGAGUGCACUUACUCAGAUAAGGGCAAGCCUUCAUGAGUUGAAGCAAAACCCUCUCUUGUACACAAAACUUUUGAAUUAUUUAAUAAAAACAGGUAUAUUUCCAAGAAAAAGCUAUGAAUUAUCAAACAAUUAUGGAAAAUCUAGAAUUAUCAGAUUUACCAGAAUAGGUAUUUAUAUUUGUGAUUAUGAAUAGCUAAAUUCAUAAAUUCCUGACAAUCAUGAUAUGAUAAAAUAAAUUUAUGUUACGUACUUUAUAGUAGAAUUAUUCGAAAAAUAGCAUGUUAAGAAGUUUAUUAGCAAAGUGGAAAAGGAGAAAAUUCCUAAAGAACUAUGUCAUCCUAAAGGUGAAACCCGUGAGGCAAGAAAGCCGUGAUAGGGGAGUAGCCAGAGUAGAGGCAUUGUUUAAGGGAAAAGUAUCCAGAUUACCAUGCUAACAGUGAUCGAAGAACAUGUUAUUUAAAAAUAAUCUAGUAUAUAGUAAUCUAAAAUGAUCAUAUUUUGUUAUGUAUGAUUGAAGGGAAUAUUUUGAAAAAGCAUCAUAUGAAAAAUGAAUACUUAUUUAUCUGACGAAAUGGUAGAUAAAUUUAAAAUACUUGUUUUGUAUGUAUUAAAGGAUAUAGAAAUUGUAGAUAUAAGAAAAAUCAUAUUGAAAAAAAUAUUUGAUAAAUAUUUUAUGACUAGAAUAAAUUGCAUACUACACCUACCUACCUACUAUUACAAAUACUUACAUACCAAACCUACACAUCAACCAUGCUAAAUUACGUAUAUUUAGAAUAUUGAAAAAUGGAUAUGAAAAAUAUACAAUUAGUAGAAAAACUAAUGGAAAUUGUAAUGAACUGAAUAUAUAUAUAUAUNNNNNNNNNNNNNNNNNNNNNAUAUAUAAAGAAAAAAAUUGAUGAAAUAUAUGAAGUUUGUGAUUUUGUGUGAUUUGACUAUUUUACCCCUCACUAUAGUUGUGUUAUGAUAUUUCUGGGGUGUGGGAGGGUUUGACAUAAUUUUUGAUGCAUUUUGGUAUCAUUUAUGCAAUAUUGUGGUUUUUGAUGGCUUUGAGAGCCUUAUUUUGGACUCAUGUGGUUAUAUUUUGAUCCGUGCGAUGGAUGACCAAAUGGACUGCGCCAGCAACUCUAGAAUAUCGGUUUUACGCUAGGUAGACCUUUGGUUCGAGUGCUGGUGCACCCGAGCUCAUUUCGACCUAUUGAUCGGAAAGUUGAAAAAUUAGAAAGUUGGGUGUGGGACCCACAUUUAGUCGAAAUGACCUUGUAUGGAAAAUACAACUUCGCCAGUAGAUCCAAAAUAUCAAUUUUAGUGUGUUAGUAUAUUUGGUAUGAUUUUACGACUUUUAAAUCUCAUUUUGACCCUCGAUUUGGAAAAUUGUGAUUUCAAAUUUCGGGGGUCAAUUUUGUGAAAAUGACUUUUUAUGGAAAAUAUGGUAUUGUCAUCGCGUCCGGAACGUCGAAUUUAGUGUGGUUGCAUAGUUUUUUUUGCAUAAAACAGACUCCGAACGAAUCUCGAGCACCCCGUUGAAGUCCAUUCGACUUAGAAAAAAAAGACUGCAUAGUUAUUGCAGAAAAAUCUACAAUUUAUAGCAGAUUUCUUUCACCUUUUCGGCCCAUUUUGCUCAUUUUUCAUCUUGCCUCUUGAGAGUUAAACCUUAAAUAGUUUGAGAGCUUGAAAGUGAAGUUUGUGAGAGUUUAGAAAGAUAGAUUAACAUCUUUUUCUUGGUUUUAUUACGGAUUUAAGGUAAGAAUUCAUCCAUUUUCUUAGUAAUUUCUUGAUAAAUUUCUCAAAACCCCAAAAAUAUUAGGGCAUGAUUAUAAAUCCAAAUUUCACUUAUUUUCACUUGAAUAGUACUUUUAUCUUAUAAUUACUAGUUUUUCAUUGAUUUAACCAUCAAAACAACUCUGAUUCUUGAUUUUAACCCGAAUUUUAAAUAUUUUACCCGGUAAAGCUCAAAAAUAGUUUUUCUUCGAUUUGAACCUCGUUUUUUACUCGGUUUAACUUGGGUUUUCAGCUGUAGGUUUCUAAAAACAUGGGGAACAUGUUUUUGAAGUAAAGUUUCAAUUUUGCCCUUCUUUUUUGAAAAUCUAUUUUGGGGGUCCGUUUUGAUCCUGAACCAAAAGUAGUCAAUAUGGGUGUAGUUGAUUUUAUUUUGACGCGUAUAUUUCAUAUUUGAUGUUUCUAGAGAAGUUAGGGAUUGUUCGUAAAAGGUAGGGUUGCAUGUUCAAGUGUAGUGGACCGAUUUCGACUUUUGAGAUAGGUUAUGGCUUAACUCUUAAGACUGGAAUGGGUAGUAAAUAAUGGUACAAAAUCCAUGUUAAGGGUGGGAACUAAUCAUAAAAAAUGGCUAUCUAUGUGCUGUGCCCGUGUGGGGGCCUAUAUGAGAUGUAAUUGUCGAAAUUGAAAUAUUAUGUGAUAUGUUUGACCGUGUGAGGUCCUAUGUGAUAUUGAUAGCCUUGAAUACAUAUGAAUAAUUGUAUUGUAUUAUUUAAUGUGGUACCAUUGGUGUAUUGUGAUUAUAUUCAUACUUUAUUGGUAUAUGAGACAUGUGGAAAUUCAUGGAUGAAACGAAAAUAAUGAAUGGAUAUUGGCUCAUGUGGUUGUGGAAAUGUAUCAUUAUGGUUGGUUGUGGAAAUAUAUCAUGUAGUUGGUUGUAGAAAUACUUAUUGUGAUUGGUUGUGUGUAUUGCAUCUUCAUAUCAUACUCAUUCAUGAAAUAUUGAUACUACCGUGGCAACAUUUGAGAAACACUGGCAACACCUUUUUAAAAAUAUUGUAACACCUUAUAAAACCCUUUCUGAGGGAUGUGUUGGAAAAGAGAUAUGAGAUAUGUGGAUUGUAUAUGGGUUGACUAACCCCCAAUGGGUCCUACGUCGGGAUGCUUUAGCUCUGUAGAUGUAUACGUGGAUUGUGCGACGAUCCCAUAAGUUGUACGACAACCUCGUGCAUCAUCAACAUCAUCAUCAUCAUUAUCAUAUAUAUUGCACUUAUUUUAUUGUGUUUAUGUUGUGUUGUAUUGCCUUAUUGACUUAUCAUCUAUGUAUUUGUCUUACCUUCUUUUACUUGUAUUUGAUGAUCUUGUAUCUAUAUGUUCUCUCUUGUUCUAAUUAUAUGUAACAUAAUGUUUACUUGUGUUCUAUAUCUUGGUGUGUUUUUGGUAAUAUAUGUGAGAUAUAUUAGAACUAUUAGUGCAAGCGGUGUGGCCUACCAUUGUGGGGUAUUUUCUGAUUGCAGGUGACGUGCCCUUAGUAUAUAUUUUGUAUGCUUUAUUUACCACUUUUCUUGGUCGGCCUAUGAUACCUACUGAGUACAAGUGGACCGUAAUCAUGCCCACUGCGCCCUUUCGGUGCAGGUCCUAGCUCGAGUGCGCCUCAGCUUACUUGAUUCGGACGAUUGUUGGAGCUUCCAAAGUAGCGGUUGGACAUUCAUGCAUUCGAAGUUCACCUCUAUCUUUCUAUACUAGUUAUGUCUUUAUUAGUAUUCGAAGACAAUUAUUAUUCCUUUGUGGUUAUUUUUUUGAUGUAUUUGACUCUUGG